This 610-nucleotide ribosomal RNA is filed under the name Streptomyces sp. 1 GW-2007. Its description in RNAcentral is "bacterial SSU rRNA". It matches the Rfam family "Bacterial small subunit ribosomal RNA", at positions 337 to 956 of the family's 1533-position model. The record is from RNAcentral. Lineage: Bacteria; Bacillati; Actinomycetota; Actinomycetes; Kitasatosporales; Streptomycetaceae.
UCCUACGGGAGGGCACAGUGGGGAAUAUUGCACAAUGGGCGAAAGCCUGAUGCAGCGACGCCGCGUGAGGGAUGACGGCCUUCGGGUUGUAAACCUCUUUCAGCAGGGAAGAAGCGAAAGUGACGGUACCUGCAGAAGAAGCGCCGGCUAACUACGUGCCAGCAGCCGCGGUAAUACGUAGGGCGCAAGCGUUGUCCGGAAUUAUUGGGCGUAAAGAGCUCGUAGGCGGCUUGUCACGUCGGUUGUGAAAGCCCGGGGCUUAACCCCGGGUCUGCAGUCGAUACGGGCAGGCUAGAGUGUGGUAGGGGAGAUCGGAAUUCCUGGUGUAGCGGUGAAAUGCGCAGAUAUCAGGAGGAACACCGGUGGCGAAGGCGGAUCUCUGGGCCAUUACUGACGCUGAGGAGCGAAAGCGUGGGGAGCGAACAGGAUUAGAUACCCUGGUAGUCCACGCCGUAAACGGUGGGAACUAGGUGUUGGCGACAUUCCACGUCGUCGGUGCCGCAGCUAACGCAUUAAGUUCCCCGCCUGGGGAGUACGGCCGCAAGGCCUAAAACUCAAAGGAAUUGACGGGGGCGGGGGCGGCGGGACGGGCGCGGGGCGCGGCGGGCGA